UCUCCGUUGGUGAACCAGCGGAGGGAUCAUUACAGGACUCGCAAGACUCCUACACCCCUGUGAACUUAACUAUAAGCACGAUCUUCGGCGGGUGUCUCGGAGGGGGUUCUCCCUCCCCGAGACGCUAUACCCGCCGGCAGCCUACGAUACUCUGGCUCUUUGCGUUUGCAUCUCGAGUACAAUCAAACAAGUUCAAACUUUCAACAACGGAUCUCUUGGUUCUG
RNAcentral lists this unclassified non-coding RNA (224 nucleotides) under plant metagenome. Its description in RNAcentral is "partial contains small subunit ribosomal RNA, internal transcribed spacer 1, and 5.8S ribosomal RNA". The record is from RNAcentral.